AUGAACGCUGGCGGCGUGCCUAAUACAUGCAAGUCGAGCGAACAGAUAAGGAGCUUGCUCCUUUGACGUUAGCGGCGGACGGGUGAGUAACACGUGGGUAACCUACCUAUAAGACUGGAAUAACUCCGGGAAACCGGGGCUAAUGCCGGAUAACAUUUAGAACCGCCUGGUUCUAAAGUGAAAGAUGGUUUUGCUAUCACUUAUCGAUGGACCCGCGCCGUAUUAGCUAGUUGGUAAGGUAACGGCUUACCAAGGCAACGAUACGUAGCCGACCUGAGAGGGUGAUCGGCCACACUGGAACUGAGACACGGUCCAGACUCCUACGGGAGGCAGCAGUAGGGAAUCGGCCGCAAUGGGCGAAAGCCUGACGGAGCAACGCCGCGUGAGUGAUGAAGGUCUUCGGAUCGUAAAACUCUCUUAUUAGGGAAGAACAAAUGUGUAAGUAACUGUGCACGUCUUGACGGUACCUAAUCAGAAGGCCACGGCUAACUACGUG
This 496-nucleotide ribosomal RNA is filed under the name uncultured bacterium. RNAcentral describes it as "partial 16S ribosomal RNA". It matches the Rfam family "Bacterial small subunit ribosomal RNA", at positions 29 to 507 of the family's 1533-position model. The record is from RNAcentral.